This 368-nucleotide unclassified non-coding RNA is filed under the name uncultured fungus. RNAcentral describes it as "partial contains 5.8S ribosomal RNA, internal transcribed spacer 2, and large subunit ribosomal RNA". The record is from RNAcentral. Lineage: Eukaryota; Fungi.
AACGCAUAUUGCGCUCGAGACUUCGGUCGAGAGCAUGCCUGUCUCAGCGUCGGCUCACCCCUCGCCCACCCUUUCCCCUGUUCGCAGCGGAGAGGUGCCUGGACGGACGUGGCCGUCUCGCUCCCCUUUCCAGGGGAGCGGGUCGGCUGAAGUGCAGGGCCCGCGGCGCGACCCGGACGAGAGGGCGCCAGCAUGGUAGGUGGCUCAACGCUGCAUGCCGCUGUCGCCUUUCAUCUCGGCCCGGACCAAGGUCGCACCCAAUCGUCCGCUCGGCCACCAAGCAGGAACCGUCACCCGACCCGCAGCGAUGCGGCGGGCGGCCUCAACCCUUCGACCUGAGAUCAGACAAGACCACCCGCUGAACUUAA